This 113-nucleotide ribosomal RNA is filed under the name Pteropus alecto (black flying fox). The record is from RNAcentral. Lineage: Eukaryota; Metazoa; Chordata; Mammalia; Chiroptera; Pteropodidae.
GUCUACAGCCAUGCCACCCUGAACAAGCCCGAUCCCAUCUGAUCUUGGAAGCUAAGCAGGGUCAGGCCUGGUUAGGAUGGGAGAUCACCUAGGAAGACAAGGUGCUGCGGGUA